Molecule: long non-coding RNA, 896 nt
Filed under: Bos indicus x Bos taurus (hybrid cattle)
Lineage: Eukaryota; Metazoa; Chordata; Mammalia; Artiodactyla; Bovidae
Description: lncRNA (ENSBIXG00005017921.1)
Source: RNAcentral
CUUGUAUCUCCUGCAUUCGCAGGCAGAUUCUUUACCACUUGUGGCACCUGAGAAGGGCUGCUGCUUUUGGGUUGCAGGAGGCAGGGACCAUCUUCAUCUGUCAUUUUUGUGCACAGUUGGGGAUGGUAAGAAGUCACAGACUCUGAGGGACUGGCAGGAACCUUAGAUCUUUUCUUCCCUUUCACUUCUACAGACGUGGAGACAGAGGUCCAGAGAGCUCCAGGACUGAGAAUACCACUCUUGCCCCCUGCUCCCACCCCCCUUUUUUCCCCUUGCUGUACUACUGCUAGGGAAUCUGAGGACUGAGUGAUUAGGUGUAAAAAGGAGCGGGGGGUGGUUGUUCCAGGGCAUUGGAUCUUCAUCACCUCCCUGGUGGUUAUCUGCCCAGACGGGUCUCUGCUUCCUUUCCCAUCUCUGAGGAAGACACCUGCUAGCCCUGGCCCCAAGACUCAAGGUCACUGAGCUUGCUGUUUCCGACUUUUCCCCGGGUCCACUGGGCACCUGCUGACCUGCUGGUUAGUAGCUGUGCAGAUUGAUCUGUCUGAUCUUAAGGCAUGUAAUGGCUCCACCGGCAGGACCAUGGGUCUUGGUGACCCACUUUCUCCCCUGGCCCUUUGGACUCAUCCUCAGACAACUGACAUGUGUUCCCUGAACAGAGCUUCUGCCAUCAUCCUGAGACUCUUGAGACUGAGGGGAUAAUUUGGUUCAAAACAUUUAUGAGAACUUGCCAACUGAUGCUUUUGAACUGUGGUGUUGGAGAAGACUCUCGAGAUUUCCUUGGACUGCAAGGAGAUCCAACCAGUCCAUCCUAAAGGAAAUCAGUCCUGAAUGUUCAUUGGAAAGACUGAUGCUGAAGCUGAAACUCCAAUACUUUGGCCACCUGAUUUGAAGAACCG